GCGUGAUGGUGGGAGCGUGGCAGAGGGUUAGUGGUUGUCUGCAGAUAUGGGAGCCACUGCUAUGUGUUCAAUGCACUAAGGAUGCAACGACGAACAGGACAGACAUGGCCCUGCCUUCAAGGAAAAAGACUGUGAAGGAGGAAGGCAAUAAGGAGAGACGAAAUCUGGGCUGCAAUUUAAUUACAGAACUGAGCCUUGGAACAUUUCAGGCCUGGCACGGAAUGCAGUUUUUACACAACUUGAGGCAUGAGGAGGUGAGAGAUGGAAAGAAUGCUGUCUGUCAUUUGGAGUCAGAAGGAAAAGAAGGUUGAGGGUCUGCCAGCUCUGCUCUAGUGGUUUUUUCCUGUUUCACCUUUUACAAAAUCGAGAUAAUCGUUUCUACUUGGUAGCGAUAUUGUGAGGUGUAAAAUGGAUUAAUACAUGGAAAAUGCUUAAAGCAACUUCUGGCAUACGGUGAUCGCUCAACCAAUCCAUUGUUAUUUUAUUAUUAUUAUUUUUGUAAGACAGAGUUUUGCUUUUGUUACCCAGGCUGGAGUGCAAUGGUGUGAUCUCGGCUCACUGCAACCUCUGUUUCCCGGAUUCAAGCGAUUUUCCUCCUCCUGAGUAGCUGAGAUUACAGGUGCCCACCACCACACCCAGCUAAUUUUUUGUUUUGUUUUGUUUUUUGUUUUUUUUGAGACAGAGUCUCGCUCUGUUGCCCAGGCUGGAGUGCAGUGGCACGAUCUCG
RNAcentral lists this long non-coding RNA (727 nucleotides) under Pan troglodytes (chimpanzee). RNAcentral's name for it is "long non-coding RNA NONPTRT006766". The record is from RNAcentral. Lineage: Eukaryota; Metazoa; Chordata; Mammalia; Primates; Hominidae.